CACUAUUUUAGAGAUGUAAAUCCAUUUGAGGAUACUAUUGAGAACCUAUUGUUAGAACUAGGCUUCAUGGAUCUACUCUUCUACCUGGAGAGGCCUGAAGUAGUAGCACAUCCCGUUCAAUUAUAAAGAAAACAACUAAUAAUCUUUAAAUAUGGCUGCACCAAUUAACAG
Molecule: long non-coding RNA, 171 nt
Organism: Bombina bombina (fire-bellied toad)
Lineage: Eukaryota; Metazoa; Chordata; Amphibia; Anura; Bombinatoridae
Exons: 4
Source: RefSeq, a predicted model, not a curated record